Octopus bimaculoides (California two-spot octopus) is the source of this 4453-nucleotide long non-coding RNA. NCBI's taxonomy places the organism in Eukaryota, Metazoa, Mollusca, Cephalopoda, Octopoda, Octopodidae. The record is from RefSeq and is a predicted model, not a curated record.
GGGCUUGUAUGAUGGGAGCAGUUUGGAAACGCAACUGAAAUUAGAAAGGCUUGUGGUCCGUGCAGUUCGUCCUUACUUGGGUGUAAGGGGACUUUAUGUGAGAGAUACAGAACCAGUUGUUGAGGCCUCUACAAACAUUACCCUUCCACCCAAAGAUACAGACGCAUCGAAAAUUCUACUAAAUGCCCUAGUCCAUGGCAGGAACUCCAAUUUUCUGUCAUUCCGACAAACGACCAGUCAGCAUGGUAGCCGACAUGAAGUAUCUCCAGACCCGACAUUGGAGCAAGCUCAUAGUGGUUCAAACACCACUAGCACCAGUGGACGAAAACGAUUGUGGCCGGCGCCACAGCCUCGUUACGUAGGAUCAAAACUACAAGUACCUUGUAACGACAGACGACAGGUUGUAUCUAUGACUCCACAUUUGAUGCCAUGACCUAGUAAAAUGAAAGCCUACGCUUGCUUAAAACUCUGUCCUUCCAGUCAACAAAGCAGAACCUCUUCCAAAAUAUAUUUUCACUGUCUCAAAAUGGUUGAAGAAAAAGAGAGUGUAGAUGAGAAUAUGAUACUUUCAAAGCAAGCCAAUGAAAAUGGUUUCUGAGGUCCCCCCCCCCCCACUGUCUCUCUCUACUUUUUCUUUUUUUUUUUCUGAUGCAAAUAACUCUUUAAAAAAAGAGGAAAAGAAAAAUGUAGGGAUCACAAAGCUUUCUAUUUCCAAUAGAAGGGAAACAAUAAAAAAGAGGAUUCACACUUAACAAUGCAAUGAAACAAACUUGCUGAAAUAUGCAAUGAGACUUCAAAAUAUCACCAGAUUUUGAAACAUACGCUGCCAUUAUUUUUAAGAUUCUAUUUAAUUGAUUCAUAUGCAAUUUUUUUGUAAAUAUUCUUUCUCUUCUCCCCCAUUUCCAAUGUUCUGUAUUUCAACUGUGUUGUGCAUAUUCACUUAUACUUAAAUGAUUACAUCAAUGAAGGAGUGAUUGUUAUAUAUUUUUUCCCAUUACAGAAAUUUUCCCAGUCCCUCAACUAUUCAAAAAUAACAUUGUGGAAAGAGAAAAGAUGAAAAGACCUCCUUUCUUACAAACACACCCGAACACUUCAGGCUAAAUAAUAACUUGUACAAAAUGCCAUUAUUAAAUAAUGUUUGCAGUGGUACCUCUAGUACCUUGGAUUUAAAUUAUGGACUGAGUUAAAUGCCUUUAAUAAUAAUAACAAUAAUGGUGCCAGCCUGCCAUUUUGAAGCAUGAAAUGCCUGGUUAACAUCAUUGUCCUGAUUUGUCACUUUUUCGUCCAAAAUUAACCAAAAAAGAAGAAAAAAGUUGUUUUUUCUUCUGUUGAAUAGUUUACAGCUGUUAUGUGAUGGUACACACCUUUAUAAGACAAAAGCAAAAAGAAAAGCAAUUCAUUCCCAUUCAGUCUCACCCUUUUUUUUUUUUUUUUUUACUGAGUCCUGAUUAUAGUUGUUGGCAUUUUUAAUUCCAAAUCAUACAGCUGAAUUGCAAGGAAGAUGCAGAGAAGUCACUACUCAACACAGGUUUAUAGUGUUCAACAAAUGAGAGAUAAAUCUCCUCCUGGACAGGAUGCUGGUCUUAUUAAUGGAGAAUUUAUAUUCUAUAAUGCUACAACUCCUUACAACAAUGAUUUAAACCCCAUGUAGUACCUUACAACUAUUUAGGUUGGACUAUGGAAAGUUAAAGUGCUUUGGUCAUGGAUAUAAAUGCACAAUUGAAUCUCCUUUAUAGUUGUUUGGUACCAUAACAAAUAAGUGAAGAAGAUAUCCAAGAUAAAAUGUUAAUCUGCUGCAGGUAACUUUUCUUGAAAGAUUUGAGUACCUGAUACACAACAGGUGCAAUUAAGUCGACGCAAAUAGAAUUGUCUUUCUUAGAAACAUCUAAACACCUGAAGUUAAAUUUGAAUUCAUCAUCUAUGUUCUAGUGGUUUGAUACCAUGUCUACAGAGCCAUUUCUGAAAUUUUGAUGAGAAGGGAACCAAUUUUUGUCAUCCUAAGGCAGCUAUGCUCUUGAAAAGAAGAAAAAAAUUCCUUCAAAAACUUUUUCAUAAAAAAAGUUGUCAAUUAAUGACUUCCUUACAUUGAUGUGAAAGAAUGUCUUUAAAAACAAUUUCACCUUUUUUUUAAUAUAUCUGACCUUAAUGAAAACAGUUGUGAUUUUUAGUUUUAUAUCCGAAACUCUUGCCCAUGUUCCUAAAUCCGUUAAGAACUACUCCCUCCCAUUUUUAAAUUUAAGAAUCUUGUCUUUUACCAUAAUUAUGAAAUGGCAGAAGUGGUACAGAGCUACAAUUAACUUAGUGUUUUAUCCCACUAUGUUUCUGAGUUCAAAUUUCACUAGGGUUAACUUUUAUCUUUCAUCCUUCUAAGGAUGAUAAAGUAAGUACCUAGCAUGUACUGAGGUUGAUUCAAUCAACUGUAUCCCAUCUCUUCAAAUUUGCGGCCUUGUGCUAUUGUAAAAAAAAAAUCACUAUUGAACUAUCUUGCACAAUAAAGGUAAGUUCAGAUUUGAUUUCGGGUUGUACUCACUUUUACUAAUAUCCUUCAGAAAAGGUAUCAAUAUUAUGCAAUUUUAUUUCUAUAAAUCUGAGGCCUUGUCUGUCUAUGUAAGAAAUCUUUACAGAUUAAAAGCACCAAGGUGCAGCAGUAAGUUGAGACACUGCAAGUUUCUAUCAAUUAUAUAGACAUCCUAAUGCACAUGGGAAAAGCAUAAACACAACUCCUAUUUAUAAUUCAGAAAAUACUAUAGGUUAUAAAUAAAUGUUUAUUCUGCAUAACUUAAAAUGUCAGCCAAAUCAACCCUCAAACUAAUCCCUUAUAGCUUAAAUGAUAAAGAGCCUCAUGCUUUUGAGGUUUUUGAGUUUCACCAUACUCACCAUAUUGAAUUUCAGAGCAAAGACAAUGCUUGUAUAAUUGACAUGUUGUUCAUUAGCUUUUAAUAAUGGGUUUGAAUCCUAUUCAGAUUCACUUAACUAGACCUAAUAAGGAUAAAUAUUUAUCUUGCAUAUUGGUACAAUAUUGUUUUUUGCUUUUUGCCAGAAAAUCAAGUAGGUUUCCCCAGUCUUUAAGACAUCUAGAUAUGUAAAUAAUGUGAAAAAUAGAGUAUUCAGAAAAUAUGUCUACAAUGGAUUUUCCUCUCUUGGUCAAUGAGCUGGCUAUCCAAUAUCUUUUAUCUGUCUGCUGUCAUUUCAUAGUAUUUUCUACCUUCACCGCUAAUUUUCUUUGUCAUAUAACUCCAUCUUAUUGUUAUUUAAUUAUUAAAAAUAUGAUUGUCUUAUCUUUUCUUUCCCCAGUACAUCAAGGACUAUAUUAAUGCAUGUUUUUAUUAAGAAAGACUUGGCUAUUUUCAUCAAGCCAAGCAACCAUAUAGAAGCUGAUUUAUUGUGUUGUUGUGUUCUGGAGCUUAUCUGUUGGGAAAUGGUUCCUCUUUUUGCAAUGAGAUAAAACGGGGCUUGGUUCAACUCUAUACUAUGAUUUUUGCCUAGCACUAUAAACUAAUAAGCAUUUGUCAAUCAAAACAGUAAUCCUUUUAUCUCCUGUUGUAAAUUGUCACUUCUUAAUAUCUAUUUGUCAGUGGGUGAACUGUAUCAUCAUGAUAUAAGUAUCUUUGCCUGUUGAUAGUGUAGCACUAGAUACAAAAUCUGAAACCCACGAUCCUACAGCUUUUGGUCAGCUGCCAACACUUGAAUAAAGAAAUAACAUAUCUGGUGUGUAAAUCACUAUGCCACACUUUGAGGAAAACUUUAUAGAACAAUUAAGCGAGAACCUAUCAUUAAUCAAUAAGGUAUUCAUUAUAAAUGAUCUAUUUCUUUUAGGACAGUGGAAUUACACAAUCAGAAGGGUGCCAGGUUUAAACUUCUGACAUUUAUUUACAUUCCUUUGUGUUCCAAAUUCAAAUUCUGUUGGGAUUGGUUUUGCUUUUUCUAAUAUGCAAAAAUUGUCCUGGCAUAAAUUUGAUCCAUUUCCUGACUCUGUGAUCCACUAUGAGGGUUUCUAUUGCAUUAAUAGAGAGAUAAAUGUUUACUUAGGACCCUAGCCUUUCAUAAUUUUUCUCACAAGUCAGAUUGAAAUUAAAACUGCUGGCCAAUGAAUUGGUAGUCAAAAUAUGAUUUGUUUGUUUUACAUGUUUCUUCAUGCCUGCAUAGGUUGGUUGAAUAUGUUGAGGUAUUGUUUUUCAACCAGAUACCCUUCUUGAUCCUAACCUUUGUUUUUCAAGUAAGGGAUCUCUUUUUUUGACAUGGUUUUGAAAGCACAAAGUGGCCGGACAUUUUGUUGACAGGUUUGACAAUACUGCCUGUCAUACUUUCGUACAAACAAUUGCAGAUGUUAACAAAGAGGACAGCACACAGACAUAUAUUUAUUUACAAUAAUCUUUCAGUUUCUAUCUACUAAAUUUACUCACAAGGCUUUGGUUGUCUAUUAGAAGAAAGUUCAAGGUGCUGUGCAAUGGGA